UCAGGGCGGUAGUUUAAACUAAAAUACUGGCAUUGGAAGCCAGAGAUUGGGAAACAAACCCAUCCCUUG
Molecule: transfer RNA, 69 nt
Filed under: Margarites vorticiferus
Lineage: Eukaryota; Metazoa; Mollusca; Gastropoda; Trochida; Margaritidae
Description: tRNA-Pro
Source: RNAcentral